RNAcentral lists this long non-coding RNA (671 nucleotides) under Homo sapiens (human). RNAcentral describes it as "HSALNT0142082". The record is from RNAcentral. Lineage: Eukaryota; Metazoa; Chordata; Mammalia; Primates; Hominidae.
GCCCCCUUCCACGCUGUGGAAGGUUUGUUCUUUCCCUCUUUGCAAUAAAUCUUGCUACUGCUCACUCUUUGGGUCCACACUGCUUUUAUGAGCUGUAACACUCACCACGAAGGUCUGCAGCUUCACUCCUGAAGCCAGCGAGACCAGGAGCCCACCGGGAGGAACGAACAACUCCAGACGCGCCACCUUAAGAGCUGUAACACUCACUGCGAGGGUCCGCGACUUCAUUCUUGAAGUCAGUGAGACCAAGAAUCCACCCAUUCCGGACACACUAGAAGAUCCAAGACUGAGAGUGCCACCAAUGAGAGUUCCCUUUCUGGCUUGCCAAUGGCUGCCUUUUUGCUAUGCCUUCUCCUGGCUUUUCCUUAGUACGCAUGUGAAGAAUGAGAGCCAGGCUCAGCGGCUCACCCCUGUACAGGAGGCCGAGAAAGAAGAAUCGCUUGAACCCAGGAGGCGGAGACUGAAGUGAGCCAAGAUCACUGGUUGCACUCCAUCUAGCCUGAGCAACAAAGUGAGACUGCAUUUCCAGAAAAACAAAUAAAUAAAAAGACCUUAUGUAACAAAUAACCUCCCUAAAGACUCUAUCUGUAAAUUUAGUCACAUUGGGGGUUAACAUUCAACACAUAAAUUUUAUAGAACACAAAUCAGUCCAUAGCACAUGCAUAAUACAU